GACGAACGCUGGCGGCGUGCUUAAUACAUGCAAGUCGAACGGAAAGGCCCUGAUCUUGCGGCGUGCUCGAGUGGCGAACGCGUGUGUAUAACGUGAGUAAACUGCACCUGUCUUUGGGAUAAAUCCAGGAAACUGGGGAUAAUACCGGAUAGGAGAUCUUGAUGCACGGUGGGGGAUGGAAAGUUUCGGCGGCUUGGGAUGGACUCGCGGCUUAUCCGCUUGUUGGUGGGGUAGUGGCUUACAAAGUCUUUGACGGAUAGCCGGCCUGAGAGGUGGACCGGGGACAAUGGGACUGAGAGACGGCGCAGACGGCUACGGGCGGCAGCGGUGGAGAGUAUUACACAGUGGGCGGAAGCGUGAUACAGCAACGCCGCGUGCGUGAUGACGGCUUUCGGGUUGAAAACCACUUUGUCCUGUGACGAAGCGUGAUUGACGGUAAUUAGUAAAAAAGCACCGGCUAACUACGUG
RNAcentral lists this ribosomal RNA (468 nucleotides) under uncultured bacterium. RNAcentral describes it as "partial 16S ribosomal RNA". It matches the Rfam family "Bacterial small subunit ribosomal RNA", at positions 28 to 507 of the family's 1533-position model. The record is from RNAcentral.